GGGCCGCCCGGCCGGUCCCGGUGGCGGCGGUGCCGGUCGUCCCGGCGGCGGCGCCGGUCGUCCCGGUGGCGGCGCC
Molecule: transfer RNA, 76 nt
Filed under: Microtetraspora sp. NBRC 16547
Lineage: Bacteria; Bacillati; Actinomycetota; Actinomycetes; Streptosporangiales; Streptosporangiaceae
Description: tRNA-Thr
Source: RNAcentral